RNAcentral lists this ribosomal RNA (82 nucleotides) under Trichoderma atroviride. Its description in RNAcentral is "partial 28S ribosomal RNA". The record is from RNAcentral. Lineage: Eukaryota; Fungi; Ascomycota; Sordariomycetes; Hypocreales; Hypocreaceae.
CAGGUAGGAAUACCCGCUGAACUUAAGCAUAUCAAUAAGCGGAGGAAGGAGGCGGAGUAGGUUGUGUCUGCGUGUGCUUCGA